UUGAACGCUGGCGGCAGGCCUAACACAUGCAAGUCGAGCGGAUGAAGGGAGCUUGCUCCUGGAUUCAGCGGCGGACGGGUGAGUAAUGCCUAGGAAUCUGCCUGGUAGUGGGGGAUAACGUCCGGAAACGGGCGCUAAUACCGCAUACGUCCUGAGGGAGAAAGUGGGGGAUCUUCGGACCUCACGCUAUCAGAUGAGCCUAGGUCGGAUUAGCUAGUUGGUGGGGUAAAGGCCUACCAAGGCGACGAUCCGUAACUGGUCUGAGAGGAUGAUCAGUCACACUGGAACUGCGACACGGUCCAGACUCCUACGGGAGGCAGCAGUGGGGAAUAUUGGACAAUGGGCGAAAGCCUGAUCCAGCCAUGCCGCGUGUGUGAAGAAGGUCUUCGGAUUGUAAAGCACUUUAAGUUGGGAGGAAGGGCAGUAAGUUAAUACCUUGCUGUUUUGACGUUACCAACAGAAUAAGCACCGGCUAACUUCGUG
RNAcentral lists this ribosomal RNA (483 nucleotides) under uncultured bacterium. RNAcentral's name for it is "partial 16S ribosomal RNA". It matches the Rfam family "Bacterial small subunit ribosomal RNA", at positions 30 to 507 of the family's 1533-position model. The record is from RNAcentral.